UACGAAGGGGGCUAGCGUUGCUCGGAAUCACUGGGCGUAAAGGGCGCGUAGGCGGAUCUUUAAGUCGGGGGUGAAAGCCUGAGGCUCAACCUCAGAAUUGCCUUCGAUACUGGAGAUCUUGAGACCGGAAGAGGUAAGUGGAACUGCGAGUGUAGAGGUGAAAUUCGUAGAUAUUCGCAAGAACACCGAGGUCGGCAGGAG
RNAcentral lists this ribosomal RNA (201 nucleotides) under uncultured bacterium. RNAcentral describes it as "partial 16S ribosomal RNA". It matches the Rfam family "Bacterial small subunit ribosomal RNA", at positions 524 to 724 of the family's 1533-position model. The record is from RNAcentral.